RNAcentral lists this long non-coding RNA (1545 nucleotides) under Malus domestica (apple). Its description in RNAcentral is "long non-coding RNA (MDOM_LNC015129)". Lineage: Eukaryota; Viridiplantae; Streptophyta; Magnoliopsida; Rosales; Rosaceae. The record is from RNAcentral.
CAACUAUAGUAUAAGUAUAAGUAGGGAUCGUUCUGGACCGGGGAUUAGGAAGGCUUGCUAAUAACCUCUAAACUGACUCAAAAACAUAAAACUAAACUUAAAAAUACUUAACAAGACUCACAAGACUCAAAGCAAACUUAAAAUACUCAAAAUAGCUUAAAACAACUAAAUAAACUUAAACUAGACACUAGGAAUGACUUUGGACGAAAAUUGACUUUUACUUGAAUCAAAACAUUUAAAAACACAAAUUAAAACAGAUUCUAACUAAUUAGACACUCUAAAGUAAAAGGGGAUUGAGUUUUAGACGAAGUUGAAACAAACAAACAAGUAUGAAAAACUAGACAGAUUGUAAAACAAAUUUGAGAAAUAAGAUGAUGGAUAGGAUAGCUAGAGGUUUUUUCUCCACACAUGACAUGUAUGCAAAUAACUCGAUUUCCAGCUACUACUUCAUUGAAUUAUGAACGACAAUACUCUAAAUUAACCGUAACAUCACUAGUUAACUCUCAGAUUUUCCUUAUUUUAUUAGAUUGGAUGACAUCAUUCAACAACCCAAAAUAUUCUUCUAAAGUUCCCUACAUGACAUCAUAAUAGAGAUACAAUCAAAGAUCAUUACGUUUAAUGAAAAUCAUAAGCAUUGACAAAGCACUUGCAACUAUGACAUCAUGUCACUCAUGCUAGGAAUUGAACUUAACGUGAUCGUUUAUAAGUGACCUUCACUACAUGUGAAUAUAAGUUUGUAACGAUUAUGUGAAACUUCCUUAUAUUCUAGCAACGGAUUUAUGCAUGCCAAUUAAGUGUCGACACUUAAUUAACAAAUACAAAUAAGUUAUCAAUCAAAUAGUUAAGCCAAUUGCAUUCACGAUUCAAGAGUUCAUAACUGGAAUUUAUCAAAUUAUAUUACAUACAUAAUCAUGGCUUUCAAAUCACCCCUAGUCAAGAGGGGUUUAGCCACUCAUACUUACAACAUAACGAAAGGAAAUGAAUUUAAACAUUAGAAACAAAAGAAAGAAAACACCUAAACGCUCCAACGAUCCAGGUUGGACAACAAGCACAUCCAAGCACUUUCCUUCCCUUCCUUUGCUUCAGCACAAGGUGUUGGUGAGUGUUUGAAGGUUUAUUUGUAUGGAGGAAUGGAUGUGUUUGGAUGAAGGUUGUGUUGAAAUGGGAGUGAAUGAUCUAACUAAAUAUGAACUAAAUUUAUGUUACAUGGUAAUGGAGGGGAACAUGGAGUGGUGUAGCAAUUAAGUGCAAUGAUGCAUGAAAUCUGAAAUGAUUGAGGGAACAAGGAAUGGUGUAGCAAUUGAGUGCAAUGAUUCAAUGUAAUGAUGCAUGAAUCUGAAAUGAUGGAAGGAACAAGGAAUGGUGUAGCAAUUAAAUCUUAAAUGAUGGAGGGAACAAGGAAUGGUGUAGCAAUUGAGUGCAAUGAUUCAAUGUAAUGAUGCAUGAAUCUGAAAUGAUUGAGGGAACAAGGAAUGGUGUAGCAAUUUAGUGCAAUGAUUCAAUGUAAUGAUGCAUGAAAUCUGAAAUGAUGGAAGGGACAAGGGU